RNAcentral lists this long non-coding RNA (2760 nucleotides) under Cottoperca gobio. RNAcentral describes it as "lncRNA (ENSCGOG00000016195.1)". Lineage: Eukaryota; Metazoa; Chordata; Actinopteri; Perciformes; Bovichtidae. The record is from RNAcentral.
AGCAUUUAAAGAUUUUUGUGUUGAAUUUAAAUUUAAAAUUAUAUUAUGUGUAUGUAUUCUGUGUGUGUGUGUGUGUCUUUGUGUGUUUGUGUCUUUGUGUGUUUGGUUGUCUGUGUGUGUGUGUCUUUGUGUGUUUGUGUCUUUGUGUGUUUGCUUGUCUGUGUGUGUGUGUCUGUUUGUCUGUGUGUGUGUUUGUCUGUGUGUGUGUUUGUCUGUGUGUGUGUUUGUCUGUGUGUAUGUGCGUGUUUGUCUGUGUGUGUGUUUGUCUGUGUGUGUUUGUCUGUGUGUGUGUGUGUGUGUGUCUUUGUGUGUUUGUUUGUCUGUGUGUGUGUGUCUUUGUGUGUUUGUUUGUCUGUGUGUGUGUUUAUGUGUUUGUCUGUGUUUGUCUGCGUGUGUGUGUGUGUCUGUUUGUCUGUGUGUGUGUUUAUGUGUUUGUCUGUGUUUGUCUGUGUGUGUGUGCGUGUUUGUCUGUGUGUGUGUUUGUCUGUGUUUGUCUGUGUGUGUGUGCGUGUUUGUCUGUGUGUGUGUUUGUCUGUGUUUGUCUUUGUGUGUGUGCGUGUUUGUCUGUGUGUGUGUUUGUCUGUGUUUGUCUGUGUGUGUGUGUGUGUCUGUUUGUCUGUGUGUGUGUUAAUGUGUUUUUCUGUGUGUGUGUGUUUGUCUGUGUUUGUCUGUGUGUGUGUGCGUGUUUGUCUGUGUGUGUGUGCGUGUUUGUCUGUGUGUGUGUGUCUUUGUGUGUCUGUUUGUCUGUGUGUGUGUUUAUGUGUUUGUCUGUGUGUGUUUGUCUGUGUUUGUCUGUGUGUGUGUGUGUGUCUGUUUGUCUGUGUGUGCGUGUUUGUCUGUGUGUGUGUGUCUGUUUGUCUGUGUGUGUGUUUGUCUGUGUUUGUUUGUGUGUGUGUGCGUGUUUGUCUGUGUGUGUGUUUGUCUAUGUGUGUUUGUCUGUGUGUGUGUGUGUGUCUUUGUGUGUUUGUUUGUCUGUGUGUGUGUGUGUGUCUGUUUGUCUGAGAGUGUGUUUAUGUGUUUGUCUGUGUUUGUCUGUGUGUGUGUGUGUGUGUUUGUCUGUGUGUGUGUGUGUCUGUUUGUCUGUUUGUCUGUGUGUGUGUUUGUCUGUGUUUGUUUGUGUGUGUGUGCGUGUUUGUCUGUGUGUGUGUUUUUGUGUGUUUGUUUGUGUGUGUGUGUGUUUGUCUGUGUUUGUCUGUGUGUGUGUGUCUUUGUGUGUUUGUUUGUCUGUGUGUGUGUUUAUGUGUUUGUCUGUGUGUGUGUUUGUCUGUGUUUGUCUGUGUGUGUGCGUGUUUGUCUGUGUGUGUGUUUGUCUGUGUGUGUUUGUCUGUUUGUCUGUGUGUGUGUCUGUCUGUCUGUGUGAGUGUUUGUCUGUGUGUGUGUUUAUGUGUUUGUCUGUGUGUGUUUGUCUGUGUGUGUGUUUAUGUGUUUGUCUGUGUGUGUUUGUCUGUGUGUGUGUUUAUGUGUUUGUCUGUGUGUGUGUGUGUGUGUGUCUGUUUGUCUGUGUGUGUGUUUGUCUGUUUGUCUGUGUUUGUCUGUGUGUGUGUGCGUGUUUGUCUGUGUGUGUGUUUGUCUGUGUUUGUGUUUAUGUGUUUGUCUGUGUGUGUGUUUAUGUGUUUUUCUGUGUGUGUUUGUCUGUGUGUGUGUUUGUCUGUGUUUGUUUGUGUGUGUGUGUGUGUGUGUGUCUGUUUGUCUGUGUGUGUGUUUGUCUGUUUGUCUGUGUUUGUCUGUGUCUGUGUGCGUGUUUGUCUGUGUGUGUGUUUGUCUGUGUUUGUGUUUAUGUGUUUGUCUGUGUGUGUGUUUAUGUGUUUUUCUGUGUGUGUUUGUCUGUGUGUGUGUUUGUCUGUGUUUGUUUGUGUGUGUGUGUGUGUGUGUCUGUUUGUCUGUGUGUGUGUUUGUCUGUUUGUCUGUGUUUGUCUGUGUCUGUGUGCGUGUUUGUCUGUGUGUGUGUUUGUCUGUGUUUGUGUUUGUCUGUGUUUGUGUUUAUGUGUUUUUCUGUGUGUGUUUGUCUGUGUGUGUGUUUGUCUGUGUUUGUCUGUGUGUGUGUGUGUGUGUCUGUUUGUCUGUGUGUGUGUUUGUCUGUUUGUCUGUGUUUGUCUGUGUCUGUGUGCGUGUUUGUCUGUGUGUGUGUUUGUCUGUGUGUGUGUUUAUGUGUUUGUCUGUGUGUGUUUGUCUGUGUGUGUGUUUGUCUGUGUUUGUCUGUGUGUGUGUGUGUGUCUGUUUGUCUGUGUGUGUGUUUGUCUGUUUGUCUGUGUUUGUCUGUGUGUGUGUGCGUGUUUGUCUGUGUGUGUGUUUGUCUGUGUUUGUCUGUGUGUGUGUGUGUGUGUGUCUGUUUGUCUGUGUGUGUGUUUAUGUGUUUGUCUGUGUAUGUGUUUGUCUGUGUUUGUCUGUGUGUGUGUGCGUGUUUGUCUGUGUGUGUGUUUGUCUGUGUUUGUCUGUGUGUGUGUGCGUGUUUGUCUGUGUGUGUGUUUGUCUGUGUUUGUCUGUGUGUGUGUGUCUUUGUGUGUCUGUUUGUCUGUGUGUGUGUUUAUGUGUUUGUCUGUGUGUGUUUGUCUGUGUUUGUCUGUGUGUGUGUGUGUGUGUCUGUUUGUUUGUGUGUGUGUGUGUCUUUGUGUGUUUGUUUGUUUGUCUGUCUGUGUGUUUAUGUGUUUGUCUGUGUGUGUGUUUGUCUGUGUUUGUCUGUGUGUGUGUGCGUGUUUGUCUGUGUGUGUGUGUUUGUCUGUGUGUGUGUUUGUCUGUGUUUGUCUGUGUGUGUGUGCGUGU